RNAcentral lists this unclassified non-coding RNA (323 nucleotides) under soil metagenome. RNAcentral's name for it is "partial contains 5.8S ribosomal RNA, internal transcribed spacer 2, and large subunit ribosomal RNA". The stretch from base 1 to 120 matches the Rfam family "5.8S ribosomal RNA", at positions 35 to 154 of the family's 154-position model. The record is from RNAcentral.
GAUGAAGAACGCAGCGAAAUGCGAUAAGUAAUGCGAAUUGCAGAAUUCAGUGAGUCAUCGAAUCUUUGAACGCACAUUGCGCCCUGUGGUAUUCCGCAGGGCAUGCCUGUUCGAGCGUCAUUUCAACCCUCAAGCCUCGCUUGGUGUUGGGCCCUGCCCGCCGCGGCCGGCCCUAAAGAUAGUGGCGGCGCCGCCUGGCCCUCAGCGUAGUACAGCUCUCGCUCCAGGGUCCGGCGGCAGCCUGCCAGAACCCCCCAACUCUGUGGUUGACCUCGGAUCAGGUAGGGAUACCCGCUGAACUUAAGCAUAUCAAUAAGCGGAGA